UUAAUGAAUUUGAAGACCCCAACUUGCAGACUUGAAGAAUUUGAAGACCUCAACUUGCAGACUUGGAGGACUUUGAAGACAUUAAUU
Molecule: microRNA precursor, 87 nt
Filed under: Solanum tuberosum (potato)
Lineage: Eukaryota; Viridiplantae; Streptophyta; Magnoliopsida; Solanales; Solanaceae
Description: MIR8024 microRNA precursor family
Rfam family: MIR8024 microRNA precursor family
Source: Rfam by way of RNAcentral